RNAcentral lists this ribosomal RNA (631 nucleotides) under uncultured bacterium. RNAcentral's name for it is "bacterial SSU rRNA". The stretch from base 1 to 544 matches the Rfam family "Bacterial small subunit ribosomal RNA", at positions 338 to 873 of the family's 1533-position model. The record is from RNAcentral.
CCUACGGGAGGCAGCAGUGGGGAAUUUUGGACAAUGGGCGCAAGCCUGAUCCAGCCAUGCCGCGUGUGGGAAGAAGGCCUUCGGGUUGUAAACCACUUUUGUCAGGGAAGAAACGGUCUGGUCUAAUAAACCGGACUAAUGACGGUACCUGAAGAAUAAGCACCGGCUAACUACGUGCCAGCAGCCGCGGUAAUACGUAGGGUGCAAGCGUUAAUCGGAAUUACUGGGCGUAAAGCGUGCGCAGGCGGCUUUGCAAGACAGAUGUGAAAUCCCCGGGGCUCAACCUGGGAACUGCAUUUGUGACUGCAAGGCUAGAGUACGGCAGAGGGGGGAUGGGAAUUCCGCGUGUAGCAGUGAAAUGCGUAGAUAUGCGGAGGAACACCGAUGGCGAAGGCAAUCCCCUGGGCCUGUACUGACGCUCAUGCACGAAAGCGUGGGGAGCAAACAGGAUUAGAUACCCUGGUAGUCCACGCCCUAAACGAUGUCAACUGGUUGUUGGGAGGGUUUCUUCUCAGUAACGAAGCUAACGCGUGAGUUGACCGCCUGGGGGAGGACGGCCGCGAGUAGUUAACGUUACUAAGUUAGUUAGUUAGCGGCGNGNGAGNGCGACGGACGACGACGAGGGAGGAGG